GAUGAACGCUGGCGGCGUGCCUAAUACAUGCAAGUCGAGCGAACGGGCGUGAAGCUUUCUUCUCUGAUGUUAGCGGCGGACGGGUGAGUAACACGUGGAUAACCUACCUAUUAUACUGGGAUAACUUCGGGAAACCGUAGCUAAUACCGGAUGAUAUUUUGAACCGCAUGGUUCAAAAGUGAAAGACGCUCUUGCUGUCACUUAUAGAUGGAUCCGCGUUGCAUUAGCUAGUUGGUAAGGUAACGGCUUACCAAGGCAACGAUGCAUAGCCGACCUGAGAGGGUGAUCAGCCACACUGGAACUGAGACACGGUCCAGACUCCUACGGGAGGCAGCAGUAGGGAAUAUUCCGCAAUGGGCGAAAGCCUGACGGAGCAACGCCGCGUGAGUGAUGAAGGUCUUCGGAUCGUAAAACUCUGUUAUUAGGGAAGAAAAGAUGUGUAAGAAAAUGUGCACAUCUUGACGGUACCUAAUCAGAAAGCAACGGCUAACUACGUG
RNAcentral lists this ribosomal RNA (497 nucleotides) under uncultured bacterium. Its description in RNAcentral is "partial 16S ribosomal RNA". It matches the Rfam family "Bacterial small subunit ribosomal RNA", at positions 28 to 507 of the family's 1533-position model. The record is from RNAcentral.